UGGGGAAUUUUGGACAAUGGGCGAAAGCCUGAUCCAGCAAUGCCGCGUGUGUGAAGAAGGCCUUCGGGUUGUAAAGCACUUUUGUCCGGAAAGAAAUCCUUGGCUCUAAUACAGUCGGGGGAUGACGGUACCGGAAGAAUAAGCACCGGCUAACUACGUGCCAGCAGCCGCGGUAAUACGUAGGGUGCAAGCGUUAAUCGGAAUUACUGGGCGUAAAGCGUGCGCAGGCGGUUUGCUAAGACCGAUGUGAAAUCCCCGGGCUCAACCUGGGAACUGCAUUGGUGACUGGCAGGCUAGAGUGUGGCAGAGGGGGGUAGAAUUCCACGUGUAGCAGUGAAAUGCGUAGAGAUGUGGAGGAAUACCGAUGGCGGAGGCAGCCCCCUGGGCCAAUACUGACGCUCAUGCACGAAAGCGUGGGGAGCAAACAGGAUUAGAUACCCUGGUAGUCCACGCCCUAAACGAUGUCAACUAGUUGUUGGGGAUUCAUUUCCUUAGUAACGUAGCUAACGCGUGAAGUUGACCGCCUGGGGAGUACGGUCGCAAGAUUAAAACUUAAAUGAAUUGACGGGGUCAUAGCUGUUUCCU
Molecule: ribosomal RNA, 585 nt
Filed under: uncultured bacterium
Lineage: Bacteria
Description: partial 16S ribosomal RNA
Rfam family: Bacterial small subunit ribosomal RNA
Source: RNAcentral